RNAcentral lists this ribosomal RNA (508 nucleotides) under uncultured bacterium. Its description in RNAcentral is "partial 16S ribosomal RNA". It matches the Rfam family "Bacterial small subunit ribosomal RNA", at positions 28 to 523 of the family's 1533-position model. The record is from RNAcentral.
GAUGAACGCUAGCUACAGGCUUAACACAUGCAAGUCGAGGGGAAACGAUAUUGGAAGCUUGCUUCCGAUAGGCGUCGACCGGCGCACGGGUGAGUAACGCGUAUCCAACCUGCCCAUCACUUGGGGAUAACCUUGCGAAAGUAAGACUAAUACCCAAUGACGUCUCUAGAAGACACCUGAAGGAGAUUAAAGAUUUAUCGGUGAUGGAUGGGGAUGCGUCUGAUUAGCUUGUUGGCGGGGUAACGGCCCACCAAGGCGACGAUCAGUAGGGGUUCUGAGAGGAAGGUCCCCCACAUCGGAACUGAGACACGGUCCAAACUCCUACGGGAGGCAGCAGUGAGGAAUAUUGGUCAAUGGGCGAGAGCCUGAAUCAGCCAAGUAGCGUGCAGGAAGACGGCCCUAUGGGUUGUAAACUGCUUUUAUAAGGGAAUAAAGUGAGCCUCGUGAGGCUUUUUGCAUGUACCUUAUGAAUAAGGACCGGCUAAUUCCGUGCCAGCAGCCGCGGUAA